AUACAUGCAAGUCGAGCGAACGGACGAGAAGCUUGCUUCUCUGAUGUUAGCGGCGGACGGGUGAGUAACACGUGGAUAACCUACCUAUAAGACUGGGAUAACUUCGGGAAACCGGAGCUAAUACCGGAUAAUAUUUUGAACCGCAUGGUUCAAAAGUGAAAGACGGUCUUGCUGUCACUUAUAGAUGGAUCCGCGCUGCAUUAGCUAGUUGGUAAGGUAACGGCUUACCAAGGCAACGAUGCAUAGCCGACCUGAGAGGGUGAUCGGCCACACUGGAACUGAGACACGGUCCAGACUCCUACGGGAGGCAGCAGUAGGGAAUCUUCCGCAAUGGGCGAAAGCCUGACGGAGCAACGCCGCGUGAGUGAUGAAGGUCUUCGGAUCGUAAAACUCUGUUAUUAGGGAAGAACAUAUGUGUAAGUAACUGUGCACAUCUUGACGGUACCUAAUCAGAAAGCCACGGCUAACUACGUGCCAGCAGCCGCGGUAAUACGUAGGUGGCAAGCGUUAUCCGGAAUUAUUGGGCGUAAAGCGCGCGUAGGCGGUUUUUUAAGUCUGAUGUGAAAGCCCACGGCUCAACCGUGGAGGGUCAUUGGAAACUGGAAAACUUGAGUGCAGAAGAGGAAAGUGGAAUUCCAUGUGUAGCGGUGAAAUGCGCAGAGAUAUGGAGGAACACCAGUGGCGAAGGCGACUUUCUGGUCUGUAACUGACGCUGAUGUGCGAAAGCGUGGGGAUCAAACAGGAUUAGAUACCCUGGUAGUCCACGCCGUAAACGAUGAGUGCUAAGUGUUAGGGGGUUUCCGCCCCUUAGUGCUGCAGCUAACGCAUUAAGCACUCCGCCUGGGGAGUACGACCGCAAGGUUGAAACUCAAAGGAAUUGACGGGGACCCGCACAAGCGGUGGAGCAUGUGGUUUAAUUCGAAGCAACGCGAAGAACCUUACCAAAUCUUGACAUCCUUUGACAACUCUAGAGAUAGAGCUUUCCCCUUCGGGGGACAAAGUGACAGGUGGUGCAUGGUUGUCGUCAGCUCGUGUCGUGAGAUGUUGGGUUAAGUCCCGCAACGAGCGCAACCCUUAAGCUUAGUUGCCAUCAUUAAGUUGGGCACUCUAAGUUGACUGCCGGUGACAAACCGGAGGAAGGUGGGGAUGACGUCAAAUCAUCAUGCCCCUUAUGAUUUGGGCUACACACGUGCUACAAUGGACAAUACAAAGGGCAGCGAAACCGCGAGGUCAAGCAAAUCCCAUAAAGUUGUUCUCAGUUCGGAUUGUAGUCUGCAACUCGACUACAUGAAGCUGGAAUCGCUAGUAAUCGUAGAUCAGCAUGCUACGGUGAAUACGUUCCCGGGUCUUGUACACACCGCCCGUCACACCACGAGAGUUUGUAACACCCGAAGCCGGUGGAGUAACC
This 1408-nucleotide ribosomal RNA is filed under the name Staphylococcus aureus. RNAcentral's name for it is "16S ribosomal RNA". It matches the Rfam family "Bacterial small subunit ribosomal RNA". The record is from RNAcentral. Lineage: Bacteria; Bacillati; Bacillota; Bacilli; Caryophanales; Staphylococcaceae.